UACAGAGGUCUCAAGCGUUGUUCGGAUUCAUUGGGCGUAAAGAGCUCGUAGGCGGCUUGUUGCGUCGGCUGUGAAAACCCAUGGCUCAACCGUGGGCUUGCAGCCGAUACGGGCAGGCUAGAGUUCGGUAGGGGAGACUGGAAUUCCUGGUGUAGCGGUGAAAUGCGCAGAUAUCAGGAGGAACACCGGUGGCGAAGGCGGGUCUCUGGGCCGAUACUGACGCUGAGGAGCGAAAGCGUGGGGAGCGAACAGG
RNAcentral lists this ribosomal RNA (253 nucleotides) under uncultured bacterium. RNAcentral describes it as "partial 16S ribosomal RNA". It matches the Rfam family "Bacterial small subunit ribosomal RNA", at positions 524 to 776 of the family's 1533-position model. The record is from RNAcentral.